AAAGGUUAUCAGACUAGCAGAAUCCUUGACUCCUACUCCACUGCUGAAAAGAUUACUGUCAUCUGCCAAACAGAACAGACAAGGCAGCGAGGCACAAGAUUCCCCAGAUUGGGACAGUGACACAUCUUCAUUCCUUCUGCUUCUGCAUCUCUUAUCACCCCAGGCUUCAGGAAGAAAGAAAAUCCAUAAGAUCAGUGUUUGUCAGGCUGUUGAUCAUCUGGUGGUAUUUCACAAAACAUGCCGGAGUAUACAGGAACACCUUGAGACAGAAGAGAAUCGUCAACCAUACAUUCUUGCCUCAGGAUGCAGCAAGGAAGCCAUCAGUCAGUUCUUCAUCGUGGUUGAUAAAAAGAUCAUCCCCUGUCAAGCAUCCUCUUCACUAGCAGCAAUUGAUGAACUCUUCAAGGUCCAUUUUGUCUUCAGCAUCAGCUAUGAUCUUUCACUCAAAAAUCUAUACACUUUUGUCCAAACUACUGUCUACGGAAUUGAUGUUGGCACCACAAGUGAGAGCCCAAGGGUAAAGGAGCUCAGAGCUAAAUUUUUGAAUGAUGUUUAGAUGCUACAUCUGUAAAUCACUGCUUGCUACAACAGUCAAAUUAAUUCGGCACCUUAAACUUGUACAUGGUUUGUACCCUGGGAAGAAAUU
Molecule: long non-coding RNA, 646 nt
Organism: Tachysurus vachellii
Lineage: Eukaryota; Metazoa; Chordata; Actinopteri; Siluriformes; Bagridae
Exons: 3
Source: RefSeq, a predicted model, not a curated record